GAUGAACGCUGGCGGCGUGCCUAAUACAUGCAAGUCGAGCGAACAGACGAGGAGCUUGCUCCUCUGACGUUAGCGGCGGACGGGUGAGUAACACGUGGAUAACCUACCUAUAAGACUGGGAUAACUUCGGGAAACCGGAGCUAAUACCGGAUAAUAUAUUGAACCGCAUGGUUCAAUAGUGAAAGACGGUUUUGCUGUCACUUAUAGAUGGAUCCGCGCCGCAUUAGCUAGUUGGUAAGGUAACGGCUUACCAAGGCAACGAUGCGUAGCCGACCUGAGAGGGUGAUCGGCCACACUGGAACUGCGACACGGUCCAGACUCCUACGGGAGGCAGCAGUAGGGAAUCUUCCGCAAUGGGCGAAAGCCUGACGGAGCAACGCCGCGUGAGUGAUGAAGGUCUUCGGAUCGUAAAACUCUGUUAUUAGGGAAGAACAAAUGUGUAAGUAACUAUGCACGUCUUGACGGUACCUAAUCAGAAAGCCACGGCUAACUACGUG
RNAcentral lists this ribosomal RNA (497 nucleotides) under uncultured bacterium. RNAcentral's name for it is "partial 16S ribosomal RNA". It matches the Rfam family "Bacterial small subunit ribosomal RNA", at positions 28 to 507 of the family's 1533-position model. The record is from RNAcentral.